This 189-nucleotide unclassified non-coding RNA is filed under the name uncultured fungus. RNAcentral describes it as "sequence contains ITS1". Lineage: Eukaryota; Fungi. The record is from RNAcentral.
UUGUUUAAUUUAACUUGUUCUCAGACUUCAAUUUACAAAGGGUUGGCUGAUUCCGGCAGGCGGAGCUCCCUCCGCGAACAGAGGGGGGCCCCGCCGAGCGCCGAAUCCGGGCCGCGGUUACGGAGGAUGGGGUUGGAGGCGCGAGGCCUUUACCCAGUAAUGAUCCUUCCGCAGGUUCACCUACGGAAA